GUAUUAUUUAUAUUAUAUUUAUAAUUGUAUCAUUAUUAACGUAUUUAAUCGUUACUUCGAAAAUGUAUAUAUAUUUUUCAAUACGAUGAAAGUUAAAUUAUCAAACUGAUAAUCGAAUCGAUGAUAAUAUUCGAUUUAUUUGAACUAGAAGAGUAUUAUCGACACACAGUGUGAUGCACGAUAUCGACGAUUGAGCAUAAGUUUAUUGAAGAAAUAUUUAAAAUAUCAAUUUUGGAUAGAAUUUCGAAAUUUAACAUGUGUUUAUUUGUGAAAAAUAAAAAUCUCGUUUUAACGUGUUCAAAUAUUUUGUAUUAAAUAUUAAGAAGUCAACAUGAAGAAAAUAUAUCACGUUAAAAUGCUGUCAACUACAAGAAUUAUCAGUAUGUGCAACAUGAUAAUAUUGGGAUUUACAACGAGCUUGUUUUCGAUAAAAUACAUAUCAUCGAAAACGGAAAUUGAUUUUUAUAUCUUCAUUCAAUACUUGAAUCCGUUUGGUUCAAUUUGGUUGCAUCUUUUUAUUACGUCCAAUUCAACAAAUAUAACUAUAAAUAUCAUCCCCAUGUAUAUGUAUUUUUUCUUCGCAAUAUUGUUUUCCAUAGCCAAUAUGUAUCUGAUGAUAGCACCAUAUUUUAGAAAACCUACGUAUACUAUUCCCUGGCUAGUCAUACAAACAAUAAGCAUAAUAAAUCAAAGUGUGUCAUUCAUUCUUUCCUUUGUGCAAAAUUUAUCACGAACAGAACCAUCAUUUUUUAUUUAUUCAGAAAUUUGGUUUUUUCCAAUGUCAGGUUUAUACCUUAUAUUUUCUAUAUAUUCAUGGUCUAUUGUGAAUGAUACUCGGAAAAAAUGGAUAAAAGAGCAAUCUAAUCAUCGUGGAUUCUUCACAGUCAAUAACACAAAUGACAUCAAUGAUGCAAGUUAAUAAUGAUUAUGGACAAAACUGGUAAUCAUUUCCUUCUGUUUCUUACAACAUGGAGAAACUCAAUUAUAUAAGUUUGGAAUGUUGUUCCAGAAACGAACAAAGGCGGGAAAUCGCAUUCUUUUCGAAUUUCUUUGCAUCGAAACGGGGGCGGCACGUGCUCGUCCUUCUUCCCCUUUUCUGAGAGAUGGAUGGACAACGGGAACGGGAA
Apis cerana (Asiatic honeybee) is the source of this 1127-nucleotide RNA transcript. RefSeq lists it as uncharacterized. NCBI's taxonomy places the organism in Eukaryota, Metazoa, Arthropoda, Insecta, Hymenoptera, Apidae. The record is from RefSeq and is a predicted model, not a curated record.